RNAcentral lists this ribosomal RNA (250 nucleotides) under uncultured bacterium. RNAcentral's name for it is "partial 16S ribosomal RNA". It matches the Rfam family "Bacterial small subunit ribosomal RNA", at positions 527 to 776 of the family's 1533-position model. The record is from RNAcentral.
GUAGGGCGCGCGCGUUGUCCGGAUUUAUUGGGCGUAAAGAGCUCGUAGGCGGCUUGUCGCGUCGAAUGUGAAAUCUCGGGGCUCAACUCCGAGCUUGCAUUCGAUACGGGCAGGCUAGAGUUCGGUAGGGGAGACUGGAAUUCCUGGUGUAGCGGUGAAAUGCGCAGAUAUCAGGAGGAACACCGGUGGCGAAGGCGGGUCUCUGGGCCGAUACUGACGCUGAGGAGCGAAAGCGUGGGGAGCGAACAGG